CCGGAAAAGCUCGAUUUCACGCCGGGAAGGAGAUCAUUUUGCCUAAGGUCUUGCUUCUCAAUUUGCCGUGUAGAGGUGGAAUCGAUCGAACCCGAUUCUAGGGUUCUUGAGCUUUUCUGGAAAAUUUUCACCGGUUCGAUUCGGCCACUUGGAGGACGAGAGGAGUCUCCAUACGAGGAGAAUCACGAGCGACGUCAGGAUUGACC
Rosa chinensis is the source of this 206-nucleotide long non-coding RNA. RefSeq lists it as uncharacterized. The transcript is spliced from 3 exons. The record is from RefSeq and is a predicted model, not a curated record. NCBI's taxonomy places the organism in Eukaryota, Viridiplantae, Streptophyta, Magnoliopsida, Rosales, Rosaceae.